Triticum aestivum (bread wheat) is the source of this 1588-nucleotide long non-coding RNA. RefSeq lists it as uncharacterized. NCBI's taxonomy places the organism in Eukaryota, Viridiplantae, Streptophyta, Magnoliopsida, Poales, Poaceae. The record is from RefSeq and is a predicted model, not a curated record. The transcript has 6 exons.
UUUCCCAUCUAAUCUUAGCCUCUCGUCCGAUUCCGUCCUCUCUCGGUUUCUCCUUCCUCGCCCCUCGGGUUGACUCCUCCUCCCUCGACCCCAUGGGAGCGAAAGUGCACAGAAGCGAACUGUCGUCCUCGAGUGGAAACGUCCGUGCAUAAUGAAUCCCUAGCCGUCUCCCAUUCCCCAUCCCUUUCUCUCCCCAACCAUAGAAAACCCCAUGCGGGGACGGACACAGCAGAACGCAGCUUCAUCUAGGGUUUGCGGCCACCGGCGGGGUAGAACCGGCGGCGAUGGCGCGGCAAGAUCGCAAGGUGAUCGAUAUAGAGGAUGGGCGGAGCCGCAGUUCAGCUCAGAGUACUCGUGAUUCUCUACAGGGCCUUAAAACAUCGACGUUUCCUAUCUGCAGCGAUCUGAAUGACUCCCAGCCCACGAAGCAGCGUGGUUGCCAAGCAUGACAUGACUGAAUGCCCGAUGGUCAUGAUACGAUCCGGUAGAUUACUGGAACGUCUAGGAACUGCUCGAUAUGACAGCUUACACAAGAAGGUACAUAAUGAAUUUUUGUAGGAUAAACAUUCUUGAUGAUUUAAGCAGCGACAAUGCCCAAUAAUGUGUUGUUGGACCAACUACGGUCUUGAGAUACACCAGAACAGAAGAAAAAGUUCUCAAAAUUGUGGAAGAGCGAUAUAGUGGUUGGCGAUCAACUCUAAGCUCCACUUACAAGGCAUACAAAACAGAUGCAACUAGAUUGGCUAAUCUGCUGGAAGAUUUACAACCACAAGAGUAGGAAUGGAUGAUUGAGUACUUUGGCACUGAUUCAAAAUUUCAGGUUGUCUCUAAGAUCACUCUUUGUCUACUAUGUGUUAAGAUGAAAUUGCUUUUCUGUCUGGUUAUAUUUGGUUUCAAUGAAUUGAUAGGAACGCAGCCAAAAGAACACCGAUAGUCGUAAGAAACAGAAGACAAAACACAGAAUUGGAUCAAAAUCUUACUCGCAACUAAGUUUUGAGAAGAGAAACUUGGAAACUAGAGAAGAGCCAGAUUGUAUUGCUCUGUGGGAACUCACGCACACGAAGAAUGGAGCAUGGUCUAACACAGAGUCCCAGGAUGUUUACGAUCCAAAGAACUAGCUCGACUGGACUCUAGAUCAUGGACAAUUUAGUCUUGGCACUUAAUUAGGAUGGCUAAAUUACAUUUGAGUUUUGUUUGAUGGAUAUUUGCUAUAAGAAUUAUGAAUUUUAUGAAUCUACAUAUUAUAUGUAUGGUUUUGAAUAUUGUAAUUGAAUGCUUGUAUUUUUUUUAAGGUUACAAUAGGCUAUUGCCACAACCCACUUUUGGUUGCCACAUGUUAGCACCACAAAAAUUUAAAUUGUCGCAAUAGUUUAUCGCUACAAACAUUUCACCCAUUGUGAUACUUAUUUAUCACCGCCAAAGCUAGUAUGUUGCAAUUUCCUAUUACGACGACUGAAAUAUUUGUUGCCAUAACUUAAUGCCACAAGUGUAGCAUUCAUGGCAAAAUGCCUAAUGCCAUGAAAACAAGGAUUGUUGCCAUAGUUUAUUGCCACAAUUGACUAUUGCCACAGAAUAGUGUGCAGCACGA